Molecule: non-coding RNA, 1202 nt
Organism: Petromyzon marinus (sea lamprey)
Lineage: Eukaryota; Metazoa; Chordata; Hyperoartia; Petromyzontiformes; Petromyzontidae
Source: RefSeq, a predicted model, not a curated record
CAGGUAGACACAGAGACAGAGACACAGAGACACGAGAGACACAGGUAGCACACAGUGAGCACAGGUAGACAGGUAGACACAGUCCACUGCGUGACGUUGUCUCACGCACUCAGGUGGAGGUGCCCAGGGGAGAGCUCAUUGCCGAAAUCAAGAGGAGACUGGCAAAGCGUGACCCCUCACGUGACCCCUCGUGACCCCUCAGGAGCACGUUGCCGUGGGAUAACGACGACGUGGAGACCGUGCGACCGAGCAGACAACGGCGGCGUUGGAGACGGCGCCGACGUCCCGAGGUCCCUCUCGACAGCCCCGAGGUCCCUCUCGACAGCCCCGAGGUCCCUCUCGACAGCCCCGAGUUCCCUCUCGACAGCCCCGAGGUCCCUCUCGACAGCCCCGAGGUCCCUCUCGACAUCCCCGAGGUCCCUCUCGACAGCCCCGAGGUCCCUCUCGACAGCCCCGAGGUCCCUCUCGACAGCCCCGAGGUCCCUCUCGACAGCCCCGAGGUCCCUCUCGACAGCCCCGAGGUCCCUCUCGACAGCCCCGAACACCCCGUCCUUCUCCGCUUUUACCCUCGCGGAUUCUCCGGGGGAAUUUCUCCCCGGCCGUCUCUUUUUGAACACUCCGGGGCCAGACGCGGGCAAGGCCGUAUGCGGCCCGCUGGGCUUCUUAAUCCGGCCCGCCGAACUCGUCCAAACAUUAUUAUUAUUAUUUCGAUUUGAAGCUUUCGUGGACUGCAAGGAUUCAUCUUCUUUGGUUCUUUCGGUAAAGUCGCCACCACGUAGAAUGAGAAUAAAACAAUAAAAUAAAACAAUAAAAUAAAACAAUAAAAUUCUCACGACGUUUUGUAACUCUGUUAGUACCGACAGGUCCGUUCCUUUCACCUGAAGAAGGCCGCUUGCGUUGUGGCCGAAACGUCACGAGAAUUUCAUUGUUUUAUUUUAUUGUUUUAUUAUUUUAUUUUAUUAUUUCAUUCUCAUUCUACGUGGUGGUGACUUCACCGAAAGAACCAAAGAAGAAGAUUAUAAUUAUCAUUAUUAUUAAAUAAAAUUUUACCUUUCUCCUGUAAUGCCCCCACUUUUCCACCAUUAGGUGGCGCGCUUUGACCGGGAGUUUAAGGCGUUGUCCUUCGCAUCGUCCGCGAUCGUGAAAUUUGUUCAAUCGCCGUGCAAAUAAACGCUUUGCUUACCCGUCAAAGGCCAAACCCU